GACGAACGCUGGCGGCGUGGAUUAGGCAUGCAAGUCGAACGGUAUCAUCCUUUCGGGGAUGAGAGAGUGGCGAACGGGUGAGUAACACGUAGGUGAUCUACCCUCAAGACGGGGACAACCCAGGGAAACUUGGGCUAAUACCGGAUGUGAGCUAUCGCGAGAUAGUUUGAAAGGUGGCUUCGGCUGCCGCUUGGGGAUGAGCCUGCGUCCUAUUAGCUAGUUGGUGAGGUAACGGCUCACCGAGGCAGUGAUAGGUAGGCGGCCUUAACGGGUGGUCGCCCACACUGGGAUUGAGAUACGGCCCAGACUCCUACGGGAGGCAGCAGUCGAGAAUAGUCUACAAUGGUCGAAAGACUGAUAGUGCGACGCCGCGUGAACGAAGAAGCCCUUGGGGUGUAAAGUUCUUUUAUAUGUGAGCAGUGACAUCUAUAUUAAUAGGUAUGGGUGUAGAGAUAUUAGCAUAAUGAAUAAGACAACGGCUAACUCCGUGCC
RNAcentral lists this ribosomal RNA (492 nucleotides) under uncultured bacterium. RNAcentral's name for it is "bacterial SSU rRNA". It matches the Rfam family "Bacterial small subunit ribosomal RNA", at positions 28 to 509 of the family's 1533-position model. The record is from RNAcentral.